UGAGCAGGAAAGCAGGGGAUCGCAAGACCUUGCGCUGAUUGAGCGGCCGAUAUCAGAUUAGCUAGUUGGUGAGGUAAAGGCUCACCAAGGCGACGAUCUGUAGCGGGUCUGAGAGGAUGAUCCGCCACACUGGAACUGAGACACGGUCCAGACUCCUACGGGAGGCAGCAGUGGGGAAUUUUGGACAAUGGGGGCAACCCUGAUCCAGCCAUGCCGCGUGAGUGAAGAAGGCCUUCGGGUUGUAAAGCUCUUUCGGCCGGGAAGAAAUCGCAUGGGUUAAUACCCUGUGCGGAUGACGGUACCGGCAUAAGAAGCACCGGCUAACUACGUGCCAGCAGCCGCGGUAAUACGUAGGGUGCGAGCGUUAAUCGGAAUUACUGGGCGUAAAGCGUGCGCAGGCGGUUUUUUAAGACAGGCGUGAAAUCCCCGGGCUCAACCUGGGAACUGCGCUUGUGACUGGAAGGCUAGAGUAUGGCAGAGGGGGGUGGAAUUCCACGUGUAGCAGUGAAAUGCGUAGAGAUGUGGAGGAACACCAAUGGCGAAGGCAGCCCCCUGGGUCAAUACUGACGCUCAUGCACGAAAGCGUGGGUAGCAAACAGGAUUAGAUACCCUGGUAGUCCACGCCCUAAACGAUGUCAACUAGGUGUUGGGUGGGUAAAACCAUUUAGUACCGGAGCUAACGCGUGAAGUUGACCGCCUGGGGAGUACGGCCGCAAGGUUAAAACUCAAAGGAAUUGACGGGGACCCGCACAAGCGGUGGAUGAUGUGGAUUAAUUCGAUGCAACGCGAAAAACCUUACCUACCCUUGACAUGUCCAGGAGCCUGAAGAGAUUUGGGUGUGCCCGAAAGGGAACUGGAACACAGGUGCUGCAUGGCUGUCGUCAGCUCGUGUCGUGAGAUGUUGGGUUAAGUCCCGCAACGAGCGCAACCCUUGUCGUUAAUUGCCAUCAUUCAGUUGGGCACUUUAACGAGACUGCCGGUGACAAACCGGAGGAAGGUGGGGAUAACGUCAAGUCCUCAUGGCCCUUAUGGGUAGGGCUUCACACGUCAUACAAUGGUCGGUACAAAGGGUUGCCAAGCCGCGAGGUGGAGCCAAUCCCAGAAAGCCGAUCGUAGUCCGGAUCGCAGGCUUCAACUCGCCUGCGUGAAGUCGGAAUCGCUAGUAAUCGUGGAUCAGCAUGUCACGGUGAAUACGUUCCCGGGUCUUGUACACACCGCCCGUCACACCAUGGGAGCGGGUUCCGCCAGAAGUAGGUAGCCUAACCGCAAGGAGGGCGCUUACCACAGCGGGGUCCGUGACUGGGGUGAAGUCGUAACAAGGUA
Molecule: ribosomal RNA, 1323 nt
Filed under: metagenome
Description: bacterial SSU rRNA
Rfam family: Bacterial small subunit ribosomal RNA
Source: RNAcentral